This is a long non-coding RNA of Passer domesticus (house sparrow), 868 nucleotides long. RefSeq lists it as uncharacterized. The record is from RefSeq and is a predicted model, not a curated record. The transcript is spliced from 3 exons. Lineage: Eukaryota; Metazoa; Chordata; Aves; Passeriformes; Passeridae.
UGGGAUCAUUUCACAUGCCUCAGUUUCCUCAUGAGGAAGCACGCAAGGAUACCAUGGCACUGAGCACUCUUGCUUAGUAGACCUAAGUAUAAACAGAGCUGCUGCUUUAACUUCCUUCCUACAAAGACUUAAUGCAUUAGUGGGGACAACAUUGAUUAACAGCUCAGUGUCACUUCCUGUUGAAAUUGUGAGGAAAUGACUGCCCUGAGACCAAGCCACUGCGGGUGUGCCUCUGCUUGUGUUAGAGGUGGUAGGGGACUGAAAGGGAUGACUUUAUUUUCAUUUGGAUGAAAACAUACUGCCUUUGAACAUACUGCCUUUUUCAUUCUUCGUGUCUGCACAGAGAAGAGAUAAUGCUCUACCUCUAAGGAUCAUCACACUGUGAGCAGGGGUCUCUUCACAAAGUUUUGGAAAGGACUCCAUUGAUUCUGUGUACAUUGGAAUCCUGUAGGUUCACAGUCUGACAGUCUCAUAAGUACAGAAAAAAACAGGCAAGAGUGAUGGAGUCAGUGAGCUGAAACAUAACAUCAUUAACAGCUGCCCACUACCUGCAAGGAGAUCUGGAAAAGUGCUUUGAAGGCAAAUUGCUUACCCAAAAUGUGCUUGGAUAAGUGAAGGAUAUGCAAGAAACUGAAAGAGAGAUCCCAAGAUAUCAUGUGGCCUGUUGAGGACAGUGGUUCUUUGCAAGUAUCUUUGGAGCAGGACUCAUAAGCAAAUUUUAGUGUGAGAAGGAGCCACACUGGUCUUAGAAUUUGUUCAUUUCACACAAUAAUUUUCCUCUGAAUCAGUUUCAAGUCAUAAGCGAUCUCUCAUAGCAAAGGCAAAAAAGAAGAAUUGCAUCAGGAUGAUGCUUAAACCCUUUGGUAAG